ACGCUCGACACCUACGAGAGGCAGCAGUAGGGAAUCUUCCACAAUGGACGCAAGUCUGAUGGAGCAACGCCGCGUGAGUGAAGAAGGUCUUCGGAUCGUAAAACUCUGUUGUUAGAGAAGAACACGAGUGAGAGUAACUGUUCAUUCGAUGACGGUAUCUAACCAGCAAGUCACGGCUAACUACGUGACAGCAGCCGCGGUAAUCUGAGCGGGCUGGCAAGGC
Molecule: ribosomal RNA, 223 nt
Filed under: uncultured bacterium
Lineage: Bacteria
Description: partial 16S ribosomal RNA
Rfam family: Bacterial small subunit ribosomal RNA
Source: RNAcentral